This 2595-nucleotide long non-coding RNA is filed under the name Homo sapiens (human). Its description in RNAcentral is "HSALNT0400087". The record is from RNAcentral. Lineage: Eukaryota; Metazoa; Chordata; Mammalia; Primates; Hominidae.
GGCUUCCUGUGGUCAGGAGACUUCUGGCUGGAGGCUUGACCCCACUUUUCCUGAUGAAUGACCUUUAGAGGUGGCUCCAGCCCCAGGGCCUGACACGUGGCCUGGCUCAGAGUGAACUCUUGAGAAACGUUAGUACACUGAAAAACAAUGAAAAAAAAAAAAGAAUGAAGAAAGAAGAGUCAAGGCAGAUCAACCAGGAUCGACGCAUCUGUGUCCCUCAAGUUAAUGACAUUUGAUAAACAACUUCUUUGUCUGUUCCUUCCCUUUGUCUGUAGCCCAGGAGACACAGUGACAGAAGGACAAUGCCUGGGCCUGAGCUGGGGGCUGCAUUCCAUUGCUGCCUCUUCCUGGCACAACCUAUAAUUGUUCUAACCCAGCAGAACUUCCGUGUUUGCAUUUGUCUUAAUGGGAGUAAUAACAACAACUUCACAGUGCAAUAAAUAAAUAAUGGAUAUAAAGUGAGGUGCUUGUCACACGGCCAGAGAUAAGUAAAUUUUUGCUUCCUCUUGCACUUUGUCAAGGUUUAGUUUCUUGCUUGAAGGUAACAGAAUUCAACUUUAAGCAAACUUAAACAGCAGAGGGAAUUUAUAGGUAGAGUCCUAGGGUGUGUCAUAAAGUCCAGGGAGCCUCUGAAAGCCAGGUUCAGGAGGGACCAUGAGCUGCUCUGGAGCUGGAGCAGUAGGGACGCCUAGGCCUUCACUUAAGUGUGGUGGUGACUUGCAUUUGGUUUGACCAAGGAGAAUACUGACUGGUUCUUGAGUCGGGUGCACUCCCCCUCUUGGUCUGAUCAUGGUCAAAGGAGCAGGGUCUCUUAGAAUGAACAGGGAAUGAAAGCCAGAAGCACCUCUUUCAUGGGAGAAGUUGGUUAUGCUCAAAGAACAGGGGUAGGACAUAAACAGGUGGUCUGUUUUAGUUAUACUUUUCUGAGUCAGUUCUUCUACGAGAUUGUCCUGGAGUCACCCAGCUGGUGACAUUAGUUAUCUCCCUAGCAACGCUUUAUUCUUCACUUUGGGCACUUAAUGCCAUUGCUUGUAACUUGGUAUGUGUCUGUUCUUCUCCUCCCUAUGCCUCUGCAUCCCUCAAAUGUAUGUAUCUGUUCUUCUCCCCAUGCCUCUGCAUUCUUCAAAUGUAGGGGCCUUGUCUGAUUAUCUCCUUGUAUCUCCAUGAUAAGCAAAGUGACCAGCACAAAAUGUAGGGGCCUUGUCUGAUUAUCCCUUUGUAUCUCUAUAGUAAGCAAAGUGACCAGUACAUAAUGGGCUUGAUGACUGUGUGUGCUUGGCUGAGUAAGUGGUCAUAUGCAGACAGGAAUAGAGGAGUAAACGCUCCAAGAGAAACAUAAAGAAGCCCUACCCCUUAGUGUUUUACAACCCUGACCACUGGAGCCCCUAGCAUUAAAAAUAACUAAUCUAUUCAUUCAUCUUUUUCAUACAGGGUGGGAUCACAUGCCUACUAUGUGCUAGGUGCUGCCAGGCCAGGAUCUUGCUUCCUUGAUCUACAGACUAAGGUCUAGUCUGAAAGGGGUGUCCUUCAGGAGAUAGGUUAACAUCCAACACAUUGGAUGUGGUGAUUGAAUUCAACUUUCUUUCUACUUCCCCGAGUAAUUGAAUAAGUAUUUCUUACUUAACAGCAGUACUAGUAAUAGAAGAACUUGUUUUGGUCCAGCUUUUAAAAGACAAUUCAUUCCCUGUGUUUUACUCUGGCAUUUAGAUCAAUUAUGUUGUGUCAUUGCAAAUUGUACAAUUGCAUAGUUUUCCAAGGUUUGAGCCAAAUAUUUUUUAAAAAUUGCUGAUUUGAUAAUUGAAUGCCAGGAACUGAGGAGUCCUAGUAAUCCUAUUUCAUGAGACUUCAGAUGGCAGAUUUUUCUAAGGGGCUAUCAUUUGACAAUAAAUGAAUGUUUCAUUGGAUCUGUUGGAAUUGUUUUUCUUUGAAAGUUAAUUCAUGGGUUUAAGCCCCUGCUGCUUUCCCUCCACUUCAGACCCCAGAAGUUAUGUUGGAUUCGGUUUUUCCACUCCUGGGAAGAAGCACUCUCAAUUUUAAAGUCAAGGCAUUAUUUCUUCUUUUAAACACAGAAAGCGAAUGGUAAUUUACAUUUUUGCCACAAGUGAGAAUCAAUAGGAAUAAACUAAAUGUUGAUAAACUGACAGUAAAUUUUGUGUUAAAGUUAUUCUGUCACUAUUAAAACAACUUUGCACUGGAAAACAUAAAGUAUCCAAGCCUGCUUCUUUUUCGUCAGGUAAAUUGUGGGUAGUGCCAUUCUUUGGUCUGUAAGCCCACAGACUCAGACUACGAGAUCAAGUUUAAAAUGUGUCCAAACUCCAUAUAAUCUUCUCCCACUAUCCCCUCUCUUGUCCCAGUGAAGAGGAGGGUGUAUUACCACAUGCGUAAUAGAUGAGCAACCCAAGUCAUUGCUUUCUGCCUGGGAUGGAUGGAUGACCCAGGAGCUGAAUGCCAAGCCCUCAAAAAUAUUAUACCAUCAACAAUGGGACAAAUCAAAAUUGUCCACCACAUGAAAAGAUGAGGUGAGGAUCAGCAUUAUUUCCCUGGAAUUCCUGUCAAUGAUGCAUAAUCUGAAUAUAAUCCCAAGGAAACAUCAGA